GGCCCUCGGCGAACUGCUCAGUAACACGUGGAUAAUUUGCCCUUAGGUGGAGGAUAACCUCGGGAAACUGAGAAUAAUACUCCAUAGAUCUUAGAGGCUGGAAUGCACUAAGAUUGAAAACUCCGGUGCCUAAGGAUAAGUCUGCGGACUAUCAGGUUGUAGUCAGGGUAAAGACCUGACUAGCCUACGACGGAUACGGGUUGUGAGAGCAAUAACCCGGAGACGAUAUCUGAGACAUGAUAUCGGGCCCUACGGGGCGCAGCAGGCGCGAAACCUUCACAAUGUGCGAAAGCGCGAUGAGGGAAUCCCAAGUGCUUGCUCGUAAGAGUAAGCUGUUUUUAUGUCUAAAAAGCAUGAAGAGUAAGGGCUGGGUAAGACGGGUGCCAGCCGCCGCGGUAAUACCUGCAGCUCAAGUGGUGAUCGCUAUUAUUGGGCCUAAAACGUUCGUAGCCGGCUUGGUAAAUGCCUGGGUAAAUCGUGUAGCUUAACUAUACGAAUUCCGGGUAGACUGCUAAACUUGAGACCGGGAGAGGCUAGAGGUACUCCUGGGGUAGAGGUGAAAUUCUGUAAUCCUGGGG
Molecule: ribosomal RNA, 578 nt
Filed under: uncultured euryarchaeote
Lineage: Archaea; Methanobacteriati; Methanobacteriota
Description: bacterial SSU rRNA
Rfam family: Archaeal small subunit ribosomal RNA
Source: RNAcentral